This 433-nucleotide ribosomal RNA is filed under the name uncultured bacterium. Its description in RNAcentral is "bacterial SSU rRNA". It matches the Rfam family "Bacterial small subunit ribosomal RNA", at positions 29 to 507 of the family's 1533-position model. The record is from RNAcentral.
AACGAACGCUGGCGGCAGGCCUAACACAUGCAAGUCGAGCGAGGUAGCAAUACCUAGCGGCGGACGGGUUAGUAACGCGUGGGAACGUGCCCAAAGGUACGGAAUAGCCUCGGGAAACUGAGAGUAAUACCGUAUGUGCCCUUCGGGGGAAAGAUUUAUCGCCUUUGGAUCGGCCCGCGUUGGAUUAGGUAGUUGGUGGGGUAAUGGCCUACCAAGCCGACGAUCCAUAGCUGGUUUGAGAGGAUGAUCAGCAACACUGGGACUGAGACACGGCCCAGACUCCUACGGGAGGCAGCAUUGGGGAAUCUUAGACAAUGGGGGAAACCCUGAUCUAGCCAUGCCGCGUGAGCGAUGAAGGCCUUAGGGUUGUAAAGCUCUUUCAGCUGGGAAGAUAAUGACGGUACCAGCAGAAGAAGCCCCGGCUAACUCCGUG